This 321-nucleotide ribosomal RNA is filed under the name Triticum aestivum (bread wheat). RNAcentral's name for it is "partial small subunit ribosomal RNA". Lineage: Eukaryota; Viridiplantae; Streptophyta; Magnoliopsida; Poales; Poaceae. The record is from RNAcentral.
AUGGGCGGCACUACAACAAUGGGGUACUACCUAGCUGAUGGCAUCUAUUCGAGAUGGUCUACAUUUGUGAAGACUAUCUCAAACGUUGUGCCAGGAGGCAAGAAGUCCCACUUUACGAAGGUUCAGGAGGCUUGCAAGAAGGAUGUCGAGCGGGCAUUUGGUGUGCUCCAAUCUCGAUUUGCAGUUGUCCGGUACCCUGCUCAGACCUGGUCGAAAGAUCAAAUGUGGGAGAUCAUGAGUUGCUGUGUCAUCUUGCACAACAUGAUCAUUAAGAGCGAGCAGGAAGAGCCAGUGUUUGACACGGAACCAUAUUACAGGUAG